This is an RNA transcript of Zingiber officinale, 3109 nucleotides long. RefSeq lists it as uncharacterized. The transcript has 11 exons. Lineage: Eukaryota; Viridiplantae; Streptophyta; Magnoliopsida; Zingiberales; Zingiberaceae. The record is from RefSeq and is a predicted model, not a curated record.
UUUUUAUUUUUCCCUACUCUAACCUAACGCUAAGCCCUGCACGCGCGGCGCCGUUUCUUUCUUCUCUUCUCGCUCUCCCACCGCUCACCCACGCAGCGCCGCUCCUGAUCUCCCCAGCGUCGCUCCUCGAUCCCUUUCUCUUCCUUAAUCUGUUCUCGUCGUCGCCGCUUCUCUGCCCUCCUCCCUAAUCUGCUCUCAUCGUCGCGCUCCUCUCCCAUUCUCCUAUAAUCUGCUCUCGUCGUUGCCUCUGCUCUCCCUAAUUUGCUCUUGUCGUCGCCGCUCCUCUCACCCUACUUGUUCCGCCGCCGGCCUCCAUCGCGUGUCGCCACCACGAUUCCUCCACAUCACUGCCUCCACCGUGAUUCUGUCUUUCUCCUCCCUAACAAACAGUGGUGGGAGAAGAAAAAAAAAUCUGCUCGAGGAUCAUGGCUUGCAGCGGUGGCAGAAGAAAUAACUUGUUAAUCUUAUUAUUAUUUGUCUAACAAGUUGAUAUGUUAUCGAUGAAUAAUUCCCUUGCAGCCUUAUCAACAAAUUUCAAUACUGAUCCUGCACCUUCUCAAGGUUCUGCAAUUGUAUACAUAUUUACAUGUGCAUUCUAGAAUAUGUUUCCAUCUCAUUAAAUCAUAUAUGUUUGAAUGAUAUAUAAUGACAUGUAUUUCCUUUCCAUGAAUGUCCUAAUUGGCUGUUGACACCUUGCAAAGAGGAAACAAAGAGAUGAAUUGCUGUCAUUGUAAUGGUGACACUUGUAGAACAGUCCACCGAAGGUUGCUGGGUGAGCACCACCUCUUAACCAAUCCACUGAAGGUUGCUGGGUGAGCAUGGUGGGGAAGUAAUGGUGACACUUGUAGAACAGAUGUUCAAAUCAAUAACAUGAAAAAAAAAAGAGGAAACAACAUAAAAGUUUUGAAAAUAGGAGCUAAUGGAAAUAAAUUGUGAAAUGGAAUAAAUACCAUAGUAAAAAUGAUGAUUUAUUUUUCAGGAUUAUAUUGUUUAGUAACAGAAGGCUUAAUUGUUGUUGUAGUAGUAGUAGUAUAUUGUUUAGUAACAUACUCAAAUAAGUGCACAAGUCACAUGAUACAUUGUCGCUAUCUGAUAAAUUUCUAUAGACUGAUUAUCUGUCAGCAGGAUUAAAUUCGGAAGAAGACAAAUUUUAUUGGGAACUGCUAUAAAAUAAUUACCUAUUUAACUGCAUGUUUAUUUUUACUAUAUAUGUUUGAAUGAUAUGUAAUGAUAGGUAUUUCCUUUUCAAUUUUUAACUGUUGACCUUUUAUUAUUUAUAAUCUGUUACUAACUAUUAUUUGUAGUAGGAAUGACUCCUAAGCGUCGAACUAAGAGGAAAUCUCGUUUUAAACUUCAAGCUGAAAUAGAUAUGCAACCACCACAUAUAGGUACAAAUCACACAGAUCAUGAACAUGAUGGUCAAAACAUAGAAGGUACCUUGAAUAAUCACAGAGAUGUAGUUUCAAAUCAACUACAUGUUGAUGUGCAAGAUAAUGUCCCACUAGUUGAAAAUAUGUCUUCAGUUCCAGACCAGAAUGAUGAUAUGAACCAGGAAUAUAAUAAAGCUAGUGAAAAAGAACAUAAUGCUAAGAGGAAAAAAAGAGGUCCUACAUUUAUCAAAGAAAUUUGGGGCCGACCUAGCACACUUCCACGCAUUAAAAUUCUAUGUGAUGAUAUGGGACGUCCUAUAGGAACCAAAAAAAAAUAAAUUUACUGAUUUCUUGGGUUCUUUAGACAGAAAUGGUAAGUAUUGUCCAAUUGAUGUAGAAGAUUGGCAUAAAAUGCCAAUGGACAAAAAGAAAGAUAUGUUAAAUGUUAUAAAGGAUAAGUAUGACCUUCCUUUAGGAACAGAAAAUUGGACAUUAUGCUCAAUAGCAAAAAAAUGGAGAAAUUGGAAGUCUGAACUAAAAAGAAAGUACUAUGAUCCUGAGUUGUCAAUUCAAAUUCUUUUACAACAAAGAGAUGAAAGAGCUCAAGUAGAACAAUAUAUGAGACUUGUUGCUUUUUGGAACACAAGAAAAUCAAAGGAAAGAAGUGAAAAGAAUAAAAAUGCUAGAAAGCAAAGGAUAAUGAAUCAGACCACGGGAAGGACAUCUUUUUCUCAAGUGCAACAAACAUUGGAAAAAGAAAAGGGACAUCCUCCAACACGAGUUGAAUUAUUUCAUGUCUGUUUUACUCAUGCUAAUGGAAGUCCCUCAAGUAAUAUUGUAAAAGAAAGAUUGGCUGCAAUGAAAGAACUAGAAAAUCAACUUCCUGAAGAUUACAAUGAUCAAGUGAGCCAGAAUGAUAUAUUUGCUCAAAUCAUGGGACCAGAUAAACCCGGUCGAGUACGUAUGCUUGGUGAUGGAAUUAGCCCAUCUGAUUUAUGGGGAGUAGUUCCUAGUCGUGGCACAUGCAAUCGACUAGUUAUGGAACAGAAUGCAAAGUUAGAACAGAUGAAUGAACAAAUCAAAAAGCAAGGCCAACAUAUUACAAUGUUAGAAACAAAGAUUUCUGAACAAUCAAGCACAAAUCCUCUUUCAAAUUGUAAUAAUAGUCAACACACUUCAUCGAGUAGCAAUCCACAAGUUCUGUCUCGAUCAAAAGUUUAUUUGAUUCAACAAAAACUGUGGCAAAAGGAGUGCUCCUCAACAUGGAUCCAAAUAAUAUAGUAGGGAGACAAAAACUUGGACCAAAUUGGUGUGAAGUACAAGUACUAGUUGUCCUAGAACCCGAAGAAAAUUUAAUUAGACCUUAUGAUCUUUUACAAAGGUUUGAGGAUACACUUGGAGGACUGAUAGCUUGGCCUUGUCAUUUGUUGGCAAUAUGCGAAGAUUUCUAUUAGUGCAUAUAGAAUAAUACUUUACAUGUUUCUCAUUCGGUGACAGGUACUUGGAUUUUGCAUAUGAUGGUUGAAGAUGGUUGAAGAUGGUUGAUAGUAAAUUAGUUGCUUUUUAUUUUAUGACUUUGUUAGUUUUAAAACUCAAUGAUUUUUAGUAUUUAGUUAGCAUUAGAUUUAAUACUUUUACAUUAGUAAUGCAUUUGUACUUUUGUGAUGAUGGAUGAAUUAUGAUGAUAUGGCGAAUGAAUUGGAUAUUUUGGAUAUAAAACGUUUCUAUUCUUAUUGUGA